CACAGUCUGGCCAGCUCAUUAUUUUAGUUUUUACCCUUUCCUGCUUAAAGUGGAGAAAAUAAAGAAUUUGAGUGUGCAUGUAACAUAACUUAUUGUUCCAAUUUCCCUGAAGUUAGUUAGAGCACCUGGAUAAGAACUCCGAAUUCUGAAUUGGUAAUUUUCUGAAUAGGUUUUAUUAAAGUUGAAGAUAUAUUGUCUUCCAUAAUUUAAGUAGCAAUACAGUAAAUGUCCUCGCAGGGAAAUCCUCAUUUAAUACUCCUUGAAUGGACAUUACACUGAGGUAUACAGCAAGUUAACUUUUUUUUUUUUUUUUUUUUUUUUUUGAGACAGAGUCUCGCUCUGUUGCCAGGCUGGAGUGCAGUGGCAUGAUCUCGGCUCACUGCAACCUGCAACCUCCACCUCCCGGGUUCAGGCUAUUCUCCUGCCUUAGCCUCCCAAGUAGCUAGGACUACAGGCACGUGCCACCUCUCCCAGCUAAUUUUUUUAUUUUUAGUAGAGACGGGGUUUCCCCCAUGUUGGGCAGGAUGGUCUCAAUCUCUUGACCUCGUGAUCUGCCCGCCUCGGCCUCCCAAGGUGCUGGGAUUACAGGAGUGAGCCAUGGUGCCUGGGCAGCAAGUAACCAUUUUAAAGAAAUACUCUCAACAAGUUCUUUUUUUAUGGGGUAUUUCAGUUGUUAACAAAGUUAAAAUACUUAUUGGAACUAAUUCUUUGUAUUUUAUUCGAGGAAGAAGAAUCUAUAAGAUUGACUUACUCAUUGUUGACUGGUUUUUUGAAGCCUUACUGGGUAUAUGGACAGUUUGGGAUAAAAAGCAAAUCAAUCACUUUUCAAAAGCUGACUUAAAGUCACAUAAACUUUCAAUACUUCACCUGCAAAUCUGCUUCAACCUCACUACACACAAAAGAAACUGCUAUGCUUUGGCUUUAAAUUACCAUCUCAAUAGGCAAGUUUAUCUGAAGGCAUACAGAAUCUUACUAUUACAGAAAUUUAGUUGUAUUAUUUAUCCCCACUUGAAAAAGUUAAGUUUUUCAUUUAAAAUUAACCACAAUGUUACUUCUCUGUGCAGAAAUCUCCCUAAUUAUAUAAAGCUUAUUUUUUUUACUUUUAGUCUGAGGCGAUGUAGAUAAAUAUUUUCCAGAAUUUCAAAUCCUAACAAACAGAUGAUAAUGAUGUAAGUUCUAGAUACUGAGAACCUAUGUUCUAAACUUAUUAUCCAAUUUCAAUGGAUUAAUAAAUAUUCUAUAAUAACUUCAUAGGUAUCCUGGAUAUCUUGAUAAUCUGCCCUAUUCUUGCACAGGAAUAGGACCUGCAGGUAUCUAAAAGAAGAACAUCAGACCCAACAGCAGCAACACUGGCAUUAGUUGGAAGACUGGCCUAAUGGAUGGGCUUUAUAACAAAUAAUAUAUUUCUCUAACUAACUCUUAACCAUUGCUCUUCUCUGAGCAGCCUAAAGUUAUAUAAAACAUUGACUUGCUGUAUAGAAUUCAAUAUAAUUUCCAAAAAAGAUACUUU
RNAcentral lists this long non-coding RNA (1510 nucleotides) under Homo sapiens (human). RNAcentral's name for it is "HSALNT0133616". The record is from RNAcentral. Lineage: Eukaryota; Metazoa; Chordata; Mammalia; Primates; Hominidae.